Molecule: unclassified non-coding RNA, 294 nt
Filed under: Hevea brasiliensis (rubber tree)
Lineage: Eukaryota; Viridiplantae; Streptophyta; Magnoliopsida; Malpighiales; Euphorbiaceae
Source: RNAcentral
GAAAUUUCUCAACUUUUGGAGAAAUUGAUGGAAAAUCGAAUUGGGUUUUAGAAGAAAUCACUAUUUCUUUUCUUCCCAAUAAUAAUCUUUGUAAAAAGGGUGUUGAAAUUCUCAGCUUCUUCAUCAACAUUUUGUUUUUCUUGGAGAAAUUGAUAGAAGAAGGUACUGUAAUCUUCAGUUUGUGUAGUAUGUAAUUUGUAAUAAGCAAAUAAGUUCGAUAGGAACUAAGUUAUGCUAUCAAAGAUACGAUAACAAGGUUGUAUAUCAUGAUGGAGUCGUGGGGUGAUCUCGAAU